AGGUAAGCUACUAAGAGCGAAUGGUGGAUGCCUUGACUGGUAAAGGCGAUGAAGGACGUACUAGACUGCGAUAAGCUACGGGGAGCUGUCAAGAAGCUUUGAUCCGUAGAUUUCCGAAUGGGGCAACCCAAUGUAUAGAGAUAUACAUUACCUAUAUAGGAGCGAACGAGGGGAAUUGAAACAUCUUAGUACCCUCAGGAAAAGAAAUCAAUAGAGAUUGCGUCAGUAGCGGCGAGCGAAAGCGCAAGAGGGCAAACCCAGUGCUUGCACUGGGGGUUGUAGGACUGCAAUGUGCAAGAGGUAAGUUUAGCAGAACAUUCUGGAAAGUAUAACCAUAGAGGGUGAUAGUCCCGUAUGCGAAAAACAAACCUUAGCUAGCAGUAUCCUGAGUAGGGCGGGACACGAGGAAUCCUGUCUGAAUCCGGGUCGACCACGAUCCAACCCUAAAUACUAAUACCAGAUCGAUAGUGCACAAGUACCGUGAGGGAAAGGUGAAAAGAACUGAGGUGAUCAGAGUGAAAUAGAACCUGAAACCAUUUGCUUACAAUCAUUCAGAGCCCUAUGUAGCAAUACAGGGUGAUGGACUGCCUUUUGCAUAAUGAGCCUGCGAGUUGUGGUGUCUGGCAAGGUUAAGCAAACGCGAAGCCGUAGCGAAAGCGAGUCUGAAUAGGGCGCUUAGUCAGAUGCUGCAGACCCGAAACGAAGUGAUCUAUCCAUGAGCAAGUUGAAGCUAGUGUAAGAACUAGUGGAGGACUGAACCCAUAGGCGUUGAAAAGCCCCGGGAUGACUUGUGGAUAGGGGUGAAAGGCCAAUCAAACUUCGUGAUAGCUGGUUCUCUCCGAAAUAUAUUUAGGUAUAGCGUUGUGUCGUAAUAUAAGGGGGUAGAGCACUGAAUGGGCUAGGGCAUACACCAAUGUACCAAACCCUAUCAAACUCCGAAUACCUUAUAUGUAAUCACAGCAGUCAGGCGGCGAGUGAUAAAAUCCGUCGUCAAGAGGGAAACAACCCAGACUACCAGCUAAGGUCCCUAAAUCUUACUUAAGUGGAAAACGAUGUGAAGUUACUUAAACAACCAGGAGGUUGGCUUAGAAGCAGCCAUCCUUUAAAGAAAGCGUAAUAGCUCACUGGUCUAGUGAUUUUGCGCGGAAAAUAUAACGGGGCUAAAGUAAGUACCGAAGCUGUAGACUUAGUUUACUAAGUGGUAGGAGAGCGUUCUAUUUGCGUCGAAGGUAUACCGGUAAGGAGUGCUGGAGCGAAUAGAAGUGAGCAUGCAGGCAUGAGUAGCGAUAAUUAAUGUGAGAAUCAUUAACGCCGUAAACCCAAGGUUUCCUACGCGAUGCUCGUCAUCGUAGGGUUAGUCGGGUCCUAAGUCGAGUCCGAAAGGGGUAGACGAUGGCAAAUUGGUUAAUAUUCCAAUACCAACAUUAGUGUGCGAUGGAAGGACGCUUAGGGCUAAGGGGGCUAGCGGAUGGAAGUGCUAGUCUAA
RNAcentral lists this ribosomal RNA (1486 nucleotides) under Campylobacter jejuni. Its description in RNAcentral is "partial 23S ribosomal RNA". It matches the Rfam family "Bacterial large subunit ribosomal RNA", at positions 1 to 1515 of the family's 2925-position model. Lineage: Bacteria; Pseudomonadati; Campylobacterota; Epsilonproteobacteria; Campylobacterales; Campylobacteraceae. The record is from RNAcentral.